RNAcentral lists this ribosomal RNA (468 nucleotides) under uncultured bacterium. RNAcentral's name for it is "partial 16S ribosomal RNA". It matches the Rfam family "Bacterial small subunit ribosomal RNA", at positions 28 to 507 of the family's 1533-position model. The record is from RNAcentral.
GACGAACGCUGGCGGCGUGCUUAACACAUGCAAGUCGAACGGAAAGGCCCUGCUUUUGUGGGGUGCUCGAGUGGCGAACGGGUGAGUAACACGUGAGUAACCUGCCCUUGACUUUGGGAUAACUUCAGGAAACUGGGGCUAAUACCGGAUAGGAGCUCCUGCUGCAUGGUGGGGGUUGGAAAGUUUCGGCGGUUGGGGAUGGACUCGCGGCUUAUCAGCUUGUUGGUGGGGUAGUGGCUUACCAAGGCUUUGACGGGUAGCCGGCCUGGGAGGGUGACCGGCCACAUUGGGACUGGGAUACGGCCCAGACUCCUACGGGAGGAAGCAGUGGGGAAUAUUGCACAAUGGGCGGAAGCCUGAUGCAGCAACGCCGCGUGCGGGAUGACGGCCUUCGGGUUGUAAACCGCUUUCGCCUGUGACGAAGCGUGAGUGACGGUAAUGGGUAAAGAAGCAACGGCUAACUACGUG